Long non-coding RNA from Syzygium oleosum, 4660 nucleotides. RefSeq lists it as uncharacterized. The record is from RefSeq and is a predicted model, not a curated record. Lineage: Eukaryota; Viridiplantae; Streptophyta; Magnoliopsida; Myrtales; Myrtaceae. The transcript has 10 exons.
GGAUGAAGAGAUUCUGGGGAUUUCGGCGAUGCCGGCGUCGACGAGGCCUUUGACGCCGGCUUUCGAGCCGUCGAACGCUUUUAGCUCGCUCGCUCUGUCAUAACUCUGCUCGCCGGAGUCGGAGGCCAAAUUGAUGAUAGCUCAAAUAAUAAAGACUUGCCUAGUACUUCAUUAGACAAACAUGAAGGAAUGGAUAUGGACUUAGGUGAACGUAAAAACAGAAGGUUCAUUUGUGACGAGGCUGAAAAUAUCACCCAUAGAGCCGUACUGUUUGUGCCGUCCUAUCCAAAGAGGUCAUGUUAACAUUUCACAAGCUUAUCCUAUGCAGCAGGUAUAUGAGGAUUUGCAUACUAUCUGAGACUGGGAUAUUGGUGGAGAAGUUUCAUAUACCCCAAUCUGAAAGGAAUAUGUAUUCUGCUAUUCUUGUUGUGCCUGAGACAUUUGAUAAUCGUGGUACUUAUUUGCAUUGCUUUUCCUUAUGUCCAUUUGUUUAUACACGAAGAGUUUACUAUUACUUUUUCCGCUUAUGCAUUUCAUGAGAUUCUAUGUGUUGUAAGUGGAUGCAUGAACAUGUCGUUGAGUAAUGAGAGAAUUGUAGUGUGGUUUCUUCCCAUGCUUCUUCUUUAUUUUCUCCUAUGGUUCAUUGGCUCAUUUUACUUCGUUUAUCAUUAGGAAUAGAUUUCUUUUUUCUACUCAAUAAUUGAGAGGUAGUAUACCAUUGCUGUAGCUAAAGAUUACUCCAAGAAAGGACUUUUAAGGUCUUCAGCUAAUGUAAUAUUCUUUAGGUUGACAAGAGGAAACCUAAAUUUACCGGGAUUAUGUUUUUUUGGGGAACUUUCUGCAUCUCAUUGAGCAAUUGGUGGCCUUUUCUUAAGCUCUAAAGCAUGGAUCAGUAGUAAAUAUAUUGGUACUUUUUGGUUCGGGAGUUUAUUACACCAGGCGCAGUUUAUGUGUGAUCUGCAAAGAAAUUUCCUUUUAUGUUGGGAUGCUUGAUAGGGUCAUUAACUUGUCUGUUUACUUGUGAUAGGUUUAGAAGAUCCUAUAGUCAAAGUUAAAGAACUGCCAAAGAAUGGAUGAGAGGCUGAAAUAGAACUUUGGAUAUAAGGUCAAUCUGUAUGUAUGAUCUUAUAUCAAAAUCAUGCUGUCAACUUCUUCCCACCUUAUUUUGUAAGUACUCUUAUGAUUCUUCAGUUGGCAGUGCGUCAGAGUCAUAUUGCUAUACCACAUUUUCUGCUGGAAAGCAUAAGAUAGACUUAUUGUAAAAAAGUUACUGAGGGUUGCCACCCCUGCGGAAAAUGAUUCUUAAUAAAUGACCUCUCUUAAAAAGUCAAUGUGUUUGGAUGUGACCACUGUGUUUUGCUUCUCCUUCUAUGAACUUCUAACAUUUCUCUCACUGUUGGAGGAAUGGAAUCCUUCAAUCUCUUCUUCUCCUUGCUUUUGCUAACAUGCAUUCUUAUCCAUGCCCGGAGUUCAUUUGAAACUUAAGAAAUGAUUGGAAUCUUAAGGAGGACUUUAAUUACCUAGGAUCUUUACAUGGUCCCGAUCCUAAGCUAAGAAAAAUCAUAGGAUCGAUGCGAUCCUACUGAUCCCAUUGGUCGACCUUUGACAUACUUUCACCUUUAAAUAUGUAUAUCUGAUGUUCAGGUAAUAGAAAUACUGAUUUUUCUUGUACAUGUAGUAUAUAAACUAUAAAUUCACACCAUUUUGGAGUUUUAAUGUCACACCAUGUUCAUAAUUAACAAACUUCAUAGGACUAUCCAAGAUUUCUAUAUUGUUGGUGUAAUAUUUUAGGAUCUUACGACCCACCAUCUGAUGUUACAAUCCGAUCCCUUAGACACCUUCAUCGAUCAUAAGUAGGAUCCUGCUCCUCACAACCUUGUUCUUAACUGUAGAAAACUCAACCAAGAAAGCACCAACAGUUAAUGAGUGUUCCUAGCAACCUUGUUCCUAACAACCCUAGGGCACACUUACAAAAGCACCAAUUACCAGAAUCAAAGCCGUUCAGCAUGUUACUGAUUGUCAAAAUGCUUUUUAAAACAACCUUCUUUUUCUAGGGAAAGAAAGCCACUCUUUGAGGAACUUCCUUUACUAGAUUGCCUCCAAGGAAAUUAGCCUCCUCGCUCACAUUUGUCUCAGAAAAGACAGAUUAGUAUACUGUUGGAUUGAAAAUACCUGCCAACAGACCGAAUGAUCCUUAUCUUCGGUGUGAUUCACACCCUCAAUGUUGUAAAGAAAAAUAUAGAAAAAUUACACCGUUCCAAUUCCCAAUCUUGGGUACUGCAAACCAUAUUUAAAUAUUCCAUCAGGUUCUGUCAUAACCAGUAUACAAAAAAAUCUCAAAAUUGUACUGGCUUGCUACAAGCCUUAAAAGAAUUAGGGAAUAAUUGUUUUAUGAGUGAUUUUACACUUAAUGCACCAUGCCAGAAGAAGAUAGAGUAAUUUGUAAUUUAGAGAUUAUGAUGGAUUAGCUUUCCUUUUUUUAUCAACUUCUACUCUACAAGUUCUCCUGCUCACUUCCAUCAUCCCCGUUAUGCAAGAAUUUGUGUCGUCUCAGGUAGUUAAGAUUCGAGAAUGUGUUUUAGCUUUAGUAGUUAAAUAGUUCUGGGCUUGUCCCAUCGAGCUGAAAUUCUGUAUGCUUAGUCAUCUUGCUGAUGGAAGAGGUAUUUAUCUAAAUUCUUCGGUGGAUUCUUCAUCCUUAGUGAUAUGCUUUUCGAAAAAUACUAUUAUAACAUGAUAUAGUGAUCGCAACAUCAAUAGUUGAAGGAUGAGUUGCAUCUGUACCUUCAGUGGGUGGUAUCUUUUUACCUCUUGUGCUCUAAGUACAUCUUUUUUUAGGUACAGCGAAAAGGUUUUUCCAUGGCAAUAUCUUUGCAAACAGCUUCCCUUGCUUUCUUGUAAGUUGAGCUUGUUGCAUUGAAUGUAUGUGUCCAGAAUCCACUGAAUGGGUAGUUGGUUGUUGUGCUGUUUUUCUCUGCCAGGGAUCUAGCAGAUUCCACAUUGAAUGUUCUGUUUUCUCUGGUUUCAAGCAAAAAUUAAGGAAGUGCUUUCUAUAGUGUUGCGGGACUUGCAAUUUAGCUCUGCCGUGGUACACCAGGUUGGGAACCUUUCUGCCUUCUGAUGACUUGCAGAAAUUUACCUACAUUUAAGUGUGAAACAUGUUUUAUGAUAAAAUAGUUGAUAAAGAUAUUUAACUGUGAAAGAUAUUUUAGCAUGCUUUCACUAUUCCGAUGACAGUCAUUCCCUAGAAUCACAAAAUUGAUAUCGUAUUUAUGGCUAUGCAUGUUUUGUAACUUAUGUAACACAUUAUCUUACAGCUUGUUUACUUUGCAUGGCAAUAACUUUAGCCAAAUGGCAUGCUUUUUUCUCUUCUGUAUUCUCCACUCUCCAAAUUGUGUUUUGUCUCAUGAUGUGAUCACCGAUCAUGACAAAUAUUUAGGUGACUAUAGUAUUACCCACUGUAUUCUCCAUUAGUAGACUAUAAAUACUUCAUUAACUAUGUUCAACAGGAAAGUCUUGCUGCAGCUUUUGGGAACGGCUUGUCAACUGCCUGCAUUGUGAAUGUGGGAGCUCAGGUGACAUCAGUCAUAUGCAUUGAGGAUGGAGUGGCUCUACCUACCUCCGAGAAGAUAUUACCAUUUGAUGGAGUGGAUAUAUCCAGAUGCCUCCUAUGGACCCAGAGGCAUCAUAAAUUAUGGCCUCAAGUUCGCAGUGACAUGUUGAACAAGCGUACAGAUAUGUUGAUGCUAAACGAACUGAAAGAAUCCUAGUGAUACAUCCAAGAGGUGGAGGUUGAUGCUGUACCAAUUGUUCACUCAUACGAGGACGGGAUGCCAGCUGCAUCUCAUAGGACGAGGCUUACUGCUCUCAAAGUAUAAUGAUUGUGAGGAUAUGCUAAAAGAAACUUGGCAUUUUGAUUAUCCCAGACGACCAGACAUGGCAGAUAGCCUCUAUCCUGGGUUUAACAUUAAAUUGCUAAUGUGGGACAACUAUCUUAUAUUUCAAACAAAACCUAAGAAGGAAGAGAAGGUUGACCUUGCUGAAGCAAUCACUAGUAGCAUCCUUUCAACUGGCAGGUCCUUCGCAAUUUCUUCAACUCCGCUUGCAGGGAUUGUUAAUGUAUAUGGAUCAUAGUUUUUUAUAUUACUUUAACAAGGCGUAUCAAUCUUGAGAGAAAAUUAUUCUGCAGCAUACAACUGAUUGGUGGAGUGGCUUUGACUGAGGAUCUCAUUCCUGGUGUAGAAGAAAGAGUAUUUCAUGCAAUUCCUUCAGAUGAAGCAAUUGAUACAAUCGAGUCGCAGCUCAAGAAGAAUCAACAACUCCAAGGGUAGAAACGCUCAACGCGAAGCACACAAAAGGAGAGAAGGUUGUUGGUUGCAAGGAUUCGAGUUCGAUUCUUCCAAUUGCUGAUUUUAUCGGUUCAUUCAAAAGCCGCCAUUGCUGUAAUCUCAUUUCUUAUUUUCUGUUUUCCAGUUUUUUUCUUUUUCUUGCCAGAAUCCUGUAAUCUUACUUUUCUUAGCUUACUACGUGCUCACAAAAUUAAAUGCGUAUAUAAAAAGAAAAGAUUAUAGAUUGAGAUUGUCUCCAAAAAAAAAGGGUCAGUUAUAUUUCCAUGAAUGAAAUGAGCGAAGGCAAUUAUUCUUUGAGAGGAGCAAAUAGAUGC